GAUUUUGUUUAGAGUUGAUGCAUACGUUAAACUGACAUAUGACUGAUGCAUAUUCAUUAAUUUUAAAUAAUAAAAUAUAUGUAAUUAUUUAAUAUCAAAGUAUAAAAUUUUAUUUAUAUAUUUUAAGUUUAAAUAAUUUUUGUUAAUAUAUAAUAUAUAAUGUGAAAAGACCGAGAAUCUCCCUAAUAUAUAAUGUGAAAAAAAAAAAAAAGAGUUUCGGAGACUAUUAGGGGCAAAUGGGCACCCGGACCCGUCAAUGGGUGUAACUGUUGUUCUGUCUGAAAAGAGAGCUGAAAGUAUUUGCAUUUUUUAACAAGCAAAAAGAAAGAGAAGACCCGCUUAAACCCUCCCUCCUCUUUUAUAUGUUCUCUGUCUCUCUCUCCAUAACCCUUAAACCCUAAAUUUAGCAACCAUGUCACAAAUUUCCUUGUAAAUAAUCAAAACCCGUUACCCUCUCUCUCUCUCUCUCUCUCUCUCUCAAAUGUUAACAGCUAUUUCAAGAAUGAAGUGUGUGUUAUUAUCCCCACCAUUUUCACCCAUUUCCAAAACCACUCCUUCUCUCUUCUUUUCUAAUUUAGCCUCAAAAUCCAAACUUAUCUCAAAUGUCACAGCUUUUAGAAAUCCCAUGAAACCUCCUUCUCCUUUCCUUUCAAUUAUCCCAAUUCAAAAUCGAUGUCUCCAAUCUAAAUCCUCUCUUUCUCACACUUCCGGCGAGAUUCAUGUCAUUGUUGGCCCUAUGUUCGCCGGUAAAACCACCACUCUUCUCCGCCGGGUUCAGUCUGAAACCGAUGAUGGCAGCUUUCAGGUUGAAAAUGUGCUUCAGUUCGAAAAAACGUUAAAGGGUCUUUGUUAUUCGGGGAGAAUGAGUGAAGCUGUGGGGCUAUUAUGGCGUACGGGGUUUAAAAUGGAGCAUGGCACCUAUGCUCUUAUGUUGCAAGAAUGUAUACUCAGGAAACAAUAUAGGAUGGGAAGAAGAAUCCACGCACAAAUGGUUGUUGUUGGAUAUGUUGCUAAUGAAUAUUUAAAGAAUAAGUUAUUGAUAUUGUACGCAAAAUCUGGGGACUUAAAGACUGCCCAUAUGUUUUUUGAUAAUUUGAUGGAUAAAAGCUUGAUUUCUUGGAAUGCAAUGAUUGCUGGAUAUGUGCAAAGUGGACUUGAGGAAAUAGGCCUUAGUCUUUAUUAUAAGAUGAGACAGAAUGGUUUGACACCAGACCAGUAUACCUUUGCAUCAGCUUUUAGAGCUUGUGCUGCUUUGGCAACAUUACAGCACGGUAAGAAAGCCCAUGGUAUCAUGAUAAAGUGUAAUCUGAGAGAAAAUGUUGUAGUUAAUAGUGCCCUCAUAGACAUGUAUUUCAAAUGUAGCAGUCUCACUGAUGGGCAUAAAGCCUUUAAUAAGUCAGUGAACAGGAACAUUGUUACUUGGACUUCAUUAAUAUCUGGGUAUGGCCAGCAUGGAAGAGUUACAGAGGUUUUAGAAUCAUUUCAUAGGAUGAAAGACGAAGGUUUUAGACCAAAUUAUGUUACUUUUCUUGCAGCCCUUUGUGCCUGUAGUCAUGGAGGUUUGAUUGAUGAAGGUUGGGAUUAUUUCUUAUCAAUGAAGAGAAAUUAUGGAAUUCAGCCUAGAGGGCAACAUUAUGCAGCCAUGGUCGACCUUCUAGGUCGUGCUGGGAGGUUACAAGAAGCUUAUGAGUUUGUUCUGAAUGCACCUUGUAAAGAACACUCAGUUAUAUGGGGUGCUUUGCUCGGGGCUUGUAGGAUUCAUGGGGACAUGGACUUGGUAAAGCUUGCAGCUAAGAAAUACUUCGAAUUGAAUCCAGGAAAUGCUGGAAAGUAUGUGGUCUUGUCCAAUGCCUAUGCUUCUUUUGGGUCUUGGGGUGCUGUGGCAAAGGUUAGGGAUAUGAUGAGAGAUUCAGGAAUAAUAAAGGAGCCUGCUUGUAGCAGGAUUGAAGUUCAAGAGGAGGUGCACUACUUCUUAAUGGGUGAUAAAUCGCAUAGAAAUUUUGAGGAGAUAUGUAGGACAAUCAUCAUACUGAACUGCAUUUUAAUGGAUGCUGGCUUUGUCCCUGAUAUAAAUGACCAAUAAUUAAUGAUGAAGAAUUGAUAUUCCUUACAUUUUAAUCACAAUCUCAGCAUGGUUAUUGGCUGAGUUUCCCUUUGAUUUCAGGGCUUAGGUUGAUAAUUUGAGAUAAAGUUGUUUGUGCACUUGCCACUUAAGAAAUGUAGCAAUUAUAAAAUCAAACAAGGAUACAAGAUAUGGUUUGGAUUCAAUAGUGACACAUGAUGGGGUGAAGUUGCCUUGUGUGGCAUUGUCCAAUUUGUCAUCAUUUAGGCAAACCUUUGGCUCUGAUG
RNA transcript from Ricinus communis (castor bean), 2349 nucleotides. It is a transcript of the gene named thymidine kinase a, with no coding region annotated. The record is from RefSeq and is a predicted model, not a curated record. The transcript is spliced from 3 exons. NCBI's taxonomy places the organism in Eukaryota, Viridiplantae, Streptophyta, Magnoliopsida, Malpighiales, Euphorbiaceae.